Xenopus tropicalis (tropical clawed frog) is the source of this 82-nucleotide non-coding RNA. The record is from Rfam. Lineage: Eukaryota; Metazoa; Chordata; Amphibia; Anura; Pipidae.
GCUGUGAUGGCCGAGUGGUUAAGGCGUUGGACUCGAAAUCCAAUGGGGUUUCCCUGCACGGGUUCGAAUCCUGUUCACAGCG